This 565-nucleotide ribosomal RNA is filed under the name uncultured bacterium. RNAcentral's name for it is "bacterial SSU rRNA". It matches the Rfam family "Bacterial small subunit ribosomal RNA", at positions 46 to 658 of the family's 1533-position model. The record is from RNAcentral.
GCUUAACACAUGCAAGUCGAACGCUCCGCAAGGUGAGUGGCAGACGGGUGAGUAACGCGUGGGAACCUUCCCUAUGGUACGGAACAACUUCGGGAAACCGAAGCUAAUACCGUAUAUCUCCUCCGGGAGAAAGAUUUAUCGCCAUAGGAUGGGCCCGCGUUGGAUUAGCUAGUUGGUAGGGUAAAGGCCUACCAAGGCGACGAUCCAUAGCUGGUCUGAGAGGAUGAUCAGCCACACUGGGACUGAGACACGGCCCAGACUCCUACGGGAGGCAGCAGUGGGGAAUAUUGGACAAUGGGGGCAACCCUGAUCCAGCCAUGCCGCGUGAGUGAAGAAGGCCUUAGGGUUGUAAAGCUCUUUCGCUAGGGACGAUAAUGACGGUACCUAGAUAAGAAGCCCCGGCUAACUUCGUGCCAGCAGCCGCGGUAAUACGAAGGGGGCUAGCGUUGUUCGGAAUUACUGGGCGUAAAGCGCACGCAGGCGGAUUGAUAAGUCAGGGGUGAAAUCCCGGGGCUCAACCUCGGAAUUGCCUUUGAUACUGUCUAUCUUCGAGUUCGGGAGAGGU